GAUGAACGCUGACAGAAUGCUUAACACAUGCAAGUCUACUUGAAGUAACUUCGGUUAUGGAUGGUGGCGGAUGGGUGAGUAACGCGUAAAUAACUUGCCCCCUAGUCUGGGACGAACUGUUGGAAACGAACAGCUAAUACUAGAUGUUAUGAGACCUUGGCAUCAAGGACUUAUGAAAGACUAUAUGCGCUAGGGGAGAGAUUUGUCGUCCUAUUAGCUAGUUGGUGAGGUAAUGGCUCACCAAGGCGACGAUAGGUAGCCGGCCUGAGAGGGUGAACGGCCACAAGGGGACGUGAGACACGGCCCUUACUCCUACGGGAGGCAGCAGUGGGGAAGUAUUGGACAAUGGACCAAAACGUACUGAUCCAGCAAUUCUGUGUGCUUGAUGAAGG
RNAcentral lists this ribosomal RNA (392 nucleotides) under uncultured bacterium. RNAcentral describes it as "bacterial SSU rRNA". It matches the Rfam family "Bacterial small subunit ribosomal RNA", at positions 28 to 414 of the family's 1533-position model. The record is from RNAcentral.